GUCUGAGCCCCCAGCUCCUUUAGAUCAGGCUUUAUUACUGCUGCGUGGGACAGCUUGGUUUUGUUUGACUCUUUGAGAAGAAUAGUGCCUAGGUUGGAGACAGGAGGCGGGGAGAGACUGAGGAGGGGUACUCUAGCUCAGCUGUGGCCCUUUUGAGAGGUGAAAGGAAGAUUUAUGAUGCCACUUGUCAACUACAAGAUGGAUGGAGGUGCCCAGACUGUGAACUCCCGUGAAAUGAAGGUUAUGAUUAUCUGAGUAGGCUGAACCAUCGGUGAAAAGGAGGCCAAGCAUCUCAAAAAUAGGACACGUGAGAGUAUGGAGCCAAUGUGACACUCAGAUUUGACACAUACAGAAGCGUGAAAAACUCUUGUGUGACUGGGAUAGCUCCUCUGCAAUGAGAACAUGCCUGGGAUAAUGUACUGAAAAGAUGUGAGAAAUACAUGAAGCAGAGUCCAGUCAUCCCAGCCAAGAACCAGCUGUGAAUGUAACCGCAUGACUUUGAGGCAAGUCCAGACCAAGAACAAAGAACCACUGGUCUUAAAGACAGACCUGCAGAUUCCUGAGCUAAAUAAAAGUUUAUUGUUGAAAGGCACUGAGUUGUUUUUG
Molecule: long non-coding RNA, 606 nt
Filed under: Homo sapiens (human)
Lineage: Eukaryota; Metazoa; Chordata; Mammalia; Primates; Hominidae
Description: HSALNT0096364
Source: RNAcentral